RNAcentral lists this ribosomal RNA (274 nucleotides) under uncultured bacterium. RNAcentral's name for it is "partial 16S ribosomal RNA". It matches the Rfam family "Bacterial small subunit ribosomal RNA", at positions 523 to 796 of the family's 1533-position model. The record is from RNAcentral.
AUACGGAGGGUGCAAGCGUUAUUCGGAAUCACUGGGCGUAAAGCGCGCGCAGGCGGCUAUUUAAGUUGGAUGUGAAAGCCUACGGCUCAACCGUAGAACUGCAUCCAAAACUAUUUAGCUAGAGUGUGGGAGAGGAAGAUGGAAUUAGUUGUGUAGGGGUAAAAUCCGUAGAGAUAACUAGGAAUACCAAAAGCGAAGGCAAUCUUCUGGAACACUACUGACGCUGAGGCGCGAAAGCGUGGGGAGCAAACAGGAUUAGAAACCCCUGUAGUCC